This 120-nucleotide ribosomal RNA is filed under the name uncultured bacterium. Its description in RNAcentral is "partial 16S ribosomal RNA". It matches the Rfam family "Bacterial small subunit ribosomal RNA", at positions 30 to 145 of the family's 1533-position model. The record is from RNAcentral.
AUUGAACGCUGGCGGCAGGCCUAACACAUGCAAGUCGAGCGGUAACAGGGGAGCUUGCUCCCGCUGACGAGCGGCGGACGGGUGAGUAAUACGCAGGAAUCUACCUGGUAGCGGGGGAUA